Long non-coding RNA from Meriones unguiculatus (Mongolian gerbil), 7861 nucleotides. RefSeq lists it as uncharacterized. Lineage: Eukaryota; Metazoa; Chordata; Mammalia; Rodentia; Muridae. The transcript is spliced from 8 exons. The record is from RefSeq and is a predicted model, not a curated record.
CACGCCCCCUUCCGGUGGCCGUCCUGCUGGGGAGCUGAGGCGGGGAGUCGAGGCGGGGCUGGCUCGGCCCCAAGGGCUGGGAGCCGUCUCGCCCCUCCGCGGUUGCCUCUGGAAAGAGCCAGAUUUGUUUGUUUGUUUGCCCGUAGCCUUUCCUCCGCUCAACUCCUUGCUCGGCCAGAAAUAGAGCUACUUCAAGCCCACUGCAGAACAAACAAAAUCUACAUUCAGAACGGGACCUUUACAAGUUCAAUGGAGUUAUUUGGGGUAUGGGGCUGAGGCUGCCCUCCAACAUGUGAUCCUCCGUUCUGAGCCUCAUGUCACUUAAAUUGUUUUACUCUCUACAUGGAAGUGGUUAAGCUAAUGGAUACCUGCCUUCUUUACCCCAGUACAGAGAGCCGAUGUCUGUGACCUCAGGGAUAUGUGGUGAAGAUGAAGAUUUGGGGCAUUCUGGAAUAUUCUGAUUUUAAAUAGGGAAGGUAUUAUAGCACUUUGCUUUCACAUACCUAGGCCAUUAAAGACUAGACAAACACCAAGGAAGUCUGAAUUAGUGACUGCAAACAUGAGGGAGACCAGGCAUUGAUGUUCCAGACGCUGCUUCAGAAGAGUAAGGCAAAACACUGUAAGAAAACACUGUGGAAAAGAAACUGCAUCUUCAGAGCCAGCAGCGCUCCAGAGGAGAAAGCGACACCUCCUGAGUGUCAGUGUACAAAGGCAAGAGAACUCUUCUCUCAAGACCAUUUGGAUUCAGAAGCUGGACAGACAGAAGCUCACACACUUUCAUCCCCUUGCUGCCUUUGACUCUGAAAAUCCUUUCAUUGGCUACCCUGUAAAAUCAGCCAUGAAGGCCCUUAGCCAAACAGGAACACUAUCCAUGGAAAGGCACAGUCCAUUAACUUCUUAACAUUCAUAUGAAUAAGCUUAUGAACUUCUCCAGGCAUUUCACUGAGGCCCUGGAGGAACAAAAUGUUAAUUAAAAUUUAAGGGAAGAGAAAAAGAUUUGGUACUUGGCAUCCCUCCUAAUGCGGUGGUUUUUAGAAGAACAACCUGAGAAACAGACAGAAAUGCGGAAUGGCACCACAUUUCUGAGAAUGGCCUUUUGCUGGUCAGACUUCCCCUGCCUUGCUCACCCCUCUCCUCCGUGUAAAUCAACAUUGCCCACCCCGGCUGCAUGGGUUGAGAAGCCUUCAUAGUCUUUCUACUGGAAAAGCAGUAGCUGCAGAGCGAGGUAUGAGCGUGGAGUCAGCAGAGCCUUCCAGUCCUGGGUACAGGGAAGAAACUGAGAGCGAGUCUUAGCACUCUCUCAAGAACCCUUCCAAAGGGAUUGUUCUCCUGGCUUACAGAACUGCCAAAACCUAAGGAGAGCUAGAGAACUACCCUAAAGACACUUCCUGGGAAAAUUUACUCCAGCUCUUAGGCCAUUGAGAAGAAGUCAGACUAUAGAAGAGUAGAUUCCAUUUACGUGUGUGCAUGGGAUGGAACUACUGAAAAGAAAUCUUCUGCAGGAUUUCAUCACUGGGGUAUGACACUUGGCACUGUUUGAACGGGAGGUCGCAACAACAGACUUGAUGAGGAGUAAGCACAUCAGCCACAAAAACUAGAGAAAAUGUGCAAACUUCAUUUUGCUAAGUGGAAACAUGACUCAUCGUUCUUGUUGCAACUCCCAAGCCCUGAAGCUCUUCUUUAAAGUGCGGAGACAAAGGCAACAUCUUCAAUUCCAGCUGGCUUACCUGGAGAACUCUGACAGUGCUCAGCCACUGAUUUCUUUAUGCAUUGCAAAACUAAGUGCUCUGAGUGUCUUACCUUCCCUCACCCUGGGGAAACAGAUGCCAAAAUACUGGAAAGAGAACAAGACUGGUAGGCUUUGAGUAUAGCUUAUCAGUUUUCCUUAGCCUCUCAUUAUCUCCAGGAUGCUAUUGAACACUAGCUUUGGGAGUAUUUUAUUUUAUUUUCAAGGUUUGAGAUCUUCUUUCCUCCAGACUCCUCUGCCUUUGAGUACAAAGUGUAAGUGAUCUGCGGUCUUUCUUAAAACCUAGUCUCAUUUAAAAUCUGACUUUUGCCGAGUAAAAAUUACCAUUCCAACCCUUAGAUUUGAAAAGUUUUACAGUAGAUAUAAGAAGUCUUGAAAUCCAAGAGUAAAUUCUGUGGUCUUUCAAGCAAUAGUCAAAACUGCACUUGAAAAUUCAAAAGAAUAAAUAAAAUCCAUGACUGUGUUACUUUUCUAGAAACAUUUUAUCCCAAGAGAAACUAUUUUUUGUUUUGGAAGAUGACAAGAGUAGAAGUUAAACAAUUAUUUUUUUAAGUUACUUUAAAGGAAGGAAAAAAGGAAGGAAAGAAGGAAGGAAGGAAAGGCCAGUAGAGGCAGCUAACUGCUCCACUGGAGAAGUUAUUUCAGCAAAUGUUCAUUGUCCCAGGGAGAAACGUACCCCUACUUUGCAGCUUAGCAUUUGCACAUUUAGAAGCUUAAAUAUUUUUCACUUGAAAUGAACCAAAUGGUAUAAAUUAGAUAUGAACACAUGCAGUUACAUUUUACGAUUAAGCACAAAGAAAGGAUGCUGAUGACUGCUGCUCAGAUUUCAUAUCAUGACAAGGUAACAUUAAUUUAUAGCCUAUUUGAAAUUUCCAGCUUCCAUGGUCUUUUUAUUUUUAAGUCACUUAUUGUGAUAACCCCAGAGAAGUAUAAAAGUCAGCAAUUUAAUAAUAUUAGUAACUUUUAUGGGAUACUUGACAGUUAUCUUUGAUGUAAUUACCUGUUUGUGUUAGGGUUGCUAUUGCUGUGAUGAAACAUCCUGACCAAAAGAAACCUGGGGAGAAAAAUGUUUAUUUGGCUUCCCCUUUCACAGUAUUGUUUUAUGAAAGAAUGUCAGGACAGGAGCUCAAACUCCAGGCAGGAAACUGAAGGUAGGAUCUGAUGCAGAGGCCAUGGAGGAGAGCUGCUUACUGGCUUGCUCCUCAUGAUUUAUUUAAUGAGCUUUCUUAUAGAACCCAGUAUCACCCACCCAAGGAUGGCUCCACCCACAAUGGAAUGGGCCCUCCCCCAUUAAGCACUAAUUAGGAUUUUUUUCUAACCAGAUCUUAUGGAGGCAUUUUCUCAGUUAAGGUUUCUCCUUUCAGAUGACUAUAUCUUAGGUCAAGUUGACAUGAAGUUAGGCAGCAUUGAUCAUUUUACACGUAGAAACCAAAGCUCAGAACAGUAACUUGCCAGCUCACACUGGCUUGAAGUUAUAGCAUUGGCAACUGAAUAAAGGCAGUCUUACUCGAGGAUAAGGGUCAAUAAAACUUUCCUAUAAAGCCCCAGGCAUGAGGCUGCUGAUGCAGCUAACUACUCAGCUUUUGCUGUGAGAAAGACAGCCAGCAGAUAUGUCACUGAAGGAACAUGGCUAUAUUUUGAUAAAACCUUAUUUUAGACACUGAAAUUUAAAUUUUAUAUAAUCCCCAUGUGUCACACAUAUUAGCUGUUUCACAUUUAUUUAUAAUCUGGAGUUGUUCACAGCAUUUCAAUGUGUUCUUUGCAUCCUUUCCUAACUUAAAAAUGCAAAUAUAAUUGCUAAAUUAUAUGAUGGGCUGUACAAAAUUGGGUGGUAGGAUGUCCUGGACUCAUAGACUGCUUAAAUUCAGGACUGAUAGAAAGACUAAAAGAAAAGUCUGAAGAAAGAAAGAAAUGAAAUGAAAUGGCAGGAUGAGGAGGGCACUGUGAUGAGGAGGGUGCUGUGAUGAGGAGGGCACUGUGAUGAGGAGGGUGCUGUGAUGAGGAGGGCACUGUGGUGAGGAGGGCGCUGUGAUGAGGAGGGUGCUGUGAUGAGGAGGGCGCUGUGAUGAGGAGGGCGCUGUGAUGAGGAGGGCGCUGUGAUGAGGAGGGUGCUGUGAUGAGGGCGCUGUGAUGAGGAGGGCGCUGUGAUGAGGAGGGUGCUGUGAUGAGGAGGGUGCUGUGAUGAGGAGGGUGCUGUGAUGAGGAGGGUGCUGUGAUGAGGAGGGUGCUGUGUUCGCUCGGAUGCAGCAGUGCCUCGUGUUGGUUCUUUCCUCUCGCUGGUACCUCUCUGUGAGGUCAGUGCUGGAAGACGGGCUAAAGCAUAGCCUAGUUCUCCAUGCCAGGCAUGAGACAGAGAAACAGCCAUGAAGCAAAAAUGCUAGUUUUAACACCCUGUUCUCAGUUAUGUUUUUAAUGUUAUUUUGUACUUUCUUCCUUCCUCUGAUGCUUAUGUUUUAGUGUGUGGAGAAAUUAUGAACUUUUCUACUAAUAUGUUAAAAUUUGUGUGUGGGGGGGGGAGAACUGAUUCUCUAAAAAAUCUUUUUUUAAUGAAAAUUUCUUUUUUUUUUUUAAAGAUUUAUUUGUUAUAUACACAGCAUCCUGCCUUCAUGCCAGAAGAGGACACCAGAUCGCACUAUAGAUGGUUGUGAGCCAUCUUGUGGUUGCUGGGAAUUGAACUUAGGACCUUUGGAAGAACAGCCAUUGCUCUUAACCUCUGAGCCAGAUCUCCAGGCCCUCUAAAAAAAAAAAUCUUAAACUUGAAUUUCCAACAUGAGUAUUUUCUGAAAAAUGAGAAAUGUUCACAAAGGAUCUGUCCCGUGACUCAGUGAUUAUUAAAGGAAGACUGCACGCUGGCAUCUGGGAACACAGUGGUUAAACAGAUGAUUAUUGUUCUGCCCCGAUGAAUCUUUUCCUUAUCCACAAGUAGAAGCAAUGAGGAAAACAAUCCACAAGUCACUCAGACAAAGCAGGGCUUAGUAAUAUGGACAUGACAGGAGCUUGAAGAUAAUGUGACCAUUGUCAUUUUGGUGCCUGUAAUGAGCAGGGAAGGGAAAACUGGACAAUCCAGUCAGAUCAUUAUUGUUAAAUAGACAAGUUCCAGAAAGUUCAAUGAAAAAGGGAGGUGAUUCUAUAGCCAAUAUUUGAAAAGAAGAGAGAGAGAGAGAUGAAGUCCUGUGAAGUUGUAAGAUGUUCUCAAAACAAAAUUCUAACCCCUCCCCUUUCUUAUUGUGGCGCCUGCUGGGCUAGAUUUCUUAUUAUAGACAUUUGCAAUUGGAUGAUUCUUGUGUGUGGGGCCGGCGGGGUAGCAGGCAUUCCCUGUGCUAUAGCUUUCCUGGCCUCCACACACUUGCCAUUGUUACCCUACCUCAGGCUGUGACAAGAGAAAUCCAUCUCAGGCCUGCACAGUCUAAGAAGAACCCAACAGAAAGGAGAGUGAGGAGAUUCCAAGAAAACAAGGAGAAGAAUAAAAGAGCAAUUCAGAAGCGUAUCAUCACUUUAGAUAAGAGUUGAAAUUUCAGCCUAACAAUUUAGGAAAGGAAAGUAGUGGCCAUACUGGCUCGUGAGAACUGGAGAAGGGAAGGGAUGGAUCAUGUGUAAAUCACAGGGCAAUCUGACCUAUUACAAGUUGCAUACAUUUUCUUUAUUUAGGUAAACAAUCUUCUGCUAUAAAGAGCAUUUUAGGGAGGCAGAGAGUAAGAAAGCAUUCCUUACUCUGAGUUUCUAAAGCUGGGUAGGUUUUUAUUAGGAGAUGUGGGGAUUAGGAAUUAAAGGCAUGGGAAUGUCUUCAUGAAGACAUGCGAAGCACCGCUUGAGAAUUGUCUCAUAAGGCAGGUAAUCUGAUCCUCAAAGAGCAUUUUAAUGAAGAAGUGGUGUCGCAAAAAUGAUGAGCUGCUUAGUAAGGAAACUUGAAAAAAGCAGAAUGCCUGUAAUGGAAUCCACCAAAAUCUAUCAGUCGGUAUGAAUGACUCACUACUAUUUAAGCAAUGACAAACCAAAAUACCAUACAGAGAGGAUAAGCCUUUUAUAGCAAUAUUACUUAAUCCCUGUAUAAUUAUGUUGAAAAUGCUACAAUUAUUCUGCUCCUCUCAGACACAGCAGUAUGCUACAUAUGGACAAUUUUCUGCUAAGAUACAGUAUCCACUUGACUUUUGCUCUAUUCCACCAUUCGCACAGAUUCAUUUAUCACCUUGCUCUACGAAUUACAAAAAUAAUGAGUAAGCAAAAGCUUACCAGCACAGCUGUUUUAAGCACUACCACAACGAUAAAGUCACAGGAUGGUUUCAGGGCAAAGAACACUUUUUAAAAGGUGAAGAGGGAGUUGUAAACCAAAAUGGAAUUGUUUAAUCAUGUUCUCACAUAUUGGGAAAUGUACAGUUCCGCCAAUGCUAUAGCAGAGUCAGUCAGCCAAGCGCAGACAGCCAUGGGCCUUGGAUCAGCUUAUGUGGCCUGCUUCAGGUUUACUGCCACCUAAGUCAGAGACAGAGUGGGACAAGUUUCUUAUAGCUGGUGGUACUGUGACAGCUUUGCUUAAUUAAAAAAUGUUUAGGAGUUCAAGAAAGGAGAGCUAAAUUAACAGGCCUGAUGUGGUGUCACAGGUCUUUAAUCCUAGCCCUUGGGAGGUAGACAUAGGCAGAUCUCUGAGAGUUCGAGGCCAACCUAGUCUACAAAUCUAGUCCAGGAGAGCCAAGGCUCUGUUACACAGAGAAACCUUUCCUGGAAAAACCAAUAAGCAAACAAAAAACCAACAAAACAAAACUCCCUAUAUUAAUAGGUAGUCAUUUCAUCAACAUAAUUUCAUUUCAUUUUCUUUUCAUUUUCUUAUGAAAAUCCUGGUUCAUUUGUGGAAAAUUUAGAUAACACUGUCAGGUAAAGGUAAGCUAAAGUAAUUUCUUACUAGCAUUAACAAAGACACAUGCUUACAUUACACAUGUCAUAGUUAUACUUAGAAUGUCUUUAAACCCUGAACAAAUGGAAGCUUACCUAAUUCUUUAUCCCUUUGGUGAUCUUCCUUUUAAAAGAAAUACACUCCGAAGAAAAUCUAGCCACAUGAAAAAGAGAAGAAAAUAUGACAUAGAAAACAACAGUAAGAGCAUUUGACUAGGUUCCUCUUCAGUGUCUGUUCUCAAAGCACAGCCUGUGUGAACUGUGACUCCUAACUGCAGAUUCCUGGGAGUAAGGAGUCCAGUGUGAAUUUGACCUAAGCUGGACUGUCACCCACAGUGAGUGCUUAGAGCCUGGGAGGUACUAACUUAGAAUGUUUUCUUGCUUCCUAAGGAUAAAGGUGGGACUUGGAGUUUCUUUGUAAUUAGUAAGCACCUACUAAUGGAAUCUGACUUUGGCUUAAUUGUGAACCAAAGCCAUCAAGAAAAUGUCAAAAUGCUUGUUACCCUGGCAGUAAGGCCACCAAGGCAGCAUGAUGGAGACCCUGAAGCCAGUCUGGCCUACAGUAUCUUCUCAAAAUGAUAACAACCAACCAGCAAGAGAAAAGCACACAGAGAGCUGGCCAGUGUUGCUCACUAUAGAAUGCUUGCCUACUUGCCUAGCCCCCAUAGCAGAAUAAAGAAAAAAUAAAUAGCAAACAGAGAGAGAAAGUGGAAAAAUUUAUAGAUGGUUGUGUGAGAGAGAGAGAGGGAGAGAGAUACACAUUAUGUAACCAGUUAUAUUUAGGUAUAAUAUCAACUUGUCUUUUUGAAGUUCAUAAAAUAUAAAGCUCAUUUUAAAGUUAGGACUAGUCAAGUAAGAUUUGAAAUCUUCACUACAGAUAGAAAUGAUGAUACUUUCUUCCAUAGCAAUAAUAUUAACGUUUCAAUACUAUUCACACCCACAAUCUCUUGUUUUGCAUCUAUUUUCUGCUCUGAAACCCAGCGGAACCAAGCUUUAGAAAGAGUCCCAGAUGAUAUUAUCUCAACUCUUUAACAUCAGAACCUUUAAGUAGAUAAAAAAGAUCAGUUUAGCAUUGUUUUACAAUCAUUUCCCGUACGUAAGCUUAUCAUUUUAGAACUUUUUGUUUGCAGGACAUAAAAGCAGUUAAGUAGCUUAAGAAAAGUUAAAGGAAGAAGGAAAGUCGUUCUUUAAACCAUACCUUACCUGGAGAAUUGAAAUAGAGCCAACACC